GGGGGCGAAACGGGUUCGACGGGGGUAGAGAAGCUCAAGUUGCAUGCCGAGGUCCUGGGUGCUCGUUAAACAUCUGGGAACAAAGUAAACGCAGACGACUAUGCGUACGCCGUAGCCGCUUAAGCGGCUGCCGUUCCCUUGGCUGGCUCCCGCCCAGUCAUACGGAGCGUCGACUCAGCGGGAUAGUUUCCGGUGCGUCGCCUGCAGCACUGGAGAUGAAACUUCGUGGGCUAGCUGCGAUGGAAUCCUGCCCGUGGGAGAUCGCCGCAGCGAAACUUUAAACGCGGGAUAUGCAUGUAGACGCUUGGGUGGAAUGCUUUCGGACGCGGGUUCAACUCCCGCCGCCUCCACCA
This 353-nucleotide transfer-messenger RNA is filed under the name Syntrophobacteraceae. RNAcentral describes it as "JAAYUJ01 sp012517315 Standard tmRNA". It matches the Rfam family "transfer-messenger RNA". Rfam says of the family: Bacterial tmRNA, also known as 10Sa RNA or SsrA, is named for its dual tRNA and mRNA-like properties. Its role is to liberate the mRNA from a stalled ribosome. To accomplish this part of the tmRNA is used as a reading frame that ends in a translation stop signal. The record is from RNAcentral. Lineage: Bacteria; Pseudomonadati; Thermodesulfobacteriota; Syntrophobacteria; Syntrophobacterales. RNAcentral also lists the same sequence under 1 other name.